CCUACGGGCUGCAGCAGUGGGGGAUAUUGCACAAUGGGGGGAACCCUGAUGCAGCGACGCCGCGUGGGUGAAGGAGUAUUUCGGUAUGUAAAGCCCUAUCGGCAGGGAAGAAGCAAGACGGUACCUGACUAAGAAGCCCCGGCUAACUACGUGCCAGCAGCCGCGGUAAUACGUAGGGGGCGAGCGUUAUCCGGAUUCACUGGGUGUAAAGGGAGCGUAGACGGCCAUGCAAGCCAGGGGUGAAAGCCCGGGGCCCAACCCCGGGACUGCCCUUGGAAAUGCAUGGCUGGAGUGCGGGAGGGGCAGGCGGAAUUCCUGGUGUAGCGGUGAAAUGCGUAGAUAUCAGGAGGAACACCGGCGGCGAAGGCGGCCUGCUGGACCGCGACUGACGUUGAGGCUCGAAAGCGUGGGGAGCGAACAGGAUUAGAUACCCCAGUAGUC
RNAcentral lists this ribosomal RNA (441 nucleotides) under uncultured bacterium. Its description in RNAcentral is "partial 16S ribosomal RNA". It matches the Rfam family "Bacterial small subunit ribosomal RNA", at positions 338 to 795 of the family's 1533-position model. The record is from RNAcentral.